GACGAACGCUGGCGGCGGGCUUAACACAUGCAAGUCGAACGGUAAGGCCCUUCGGGGUACACGAGUGGCGAACGGGUGAGUAACACGUGGGUGAUCUGCCCUGCACUUCGGGAUAAGCCUGGGAAACUGGGUCUAAUACCGGAUAGGACUCCGGACUGCAUGGUCUGGGGUGGAAAGCUUUUGCGGUGUGGGAUGGGCCCGCGGCCUAUCAGCUUGUUGGUGGGGUGAUGGCCUUCCAAGGCGACGACGGGUAGCCGGCCUGAGAGGGUAACCGGCCACACUGGGACUGAGAUACUGCCCAGACUCCUACGGGAGGCAGCAGUGGGGAAUAUUGCACAAUGGGCGCAAGCCUGAUGCAGCGACGCCGCGUGAGGGAUGACGGCCUUCGGGUUGUAAACCUCUUUCAGCAUCGACGAAGCGAAAGUGACGGUAGGUGCAGAAGAAGGACCGGCCAACUACGUGCCAGCCGCCGCAGUAA
Molecule: ribosomal RNA, 478 nt
Filed under: uncultured bacterium
Lineage: Bacteria
Description: partial 16S ribosomal RNA
Rfam family: Bacterial small subunit ribosomal RNA
Source: RNAcentral